RNAcentral lists this unclassified non-coding RNA (322 nucleotides) under fungal sp. RNAcentral's name for it is "partial internal transcribed spacer region". The stretch from base 1 to 46 matches the Rfam family "Eukaryotic small subunit ribosomal RNA", at positions 1786 to 1831 of the family's 1831-position model. Lineage: Eukaryota; Fungi. The record is from RNAcentral.
AAGUCGUAACAAGGUUUCCGUAGGUGAACCUGCGGAAGGAUCAUUACAACGUAUCCACGUACAAACCAAAUCUGUGAACUCGUUUCCCUUUGGAGCGGCAAUUGCAAACUGAAUCAGCUUUCCUAUGUGUGACGAGAACGCGCAAGUGUUCUGGAACUGAUUCGGGCUGCUCUAAAGUGGUUUUCCAACGUCACUUUUUAACUAUAAACCCUUUGAACCUUUUAAACUUGAACUGAACUGAAAGCAAGUCUCUUUAUUGAGGCUACUUUCUUUCAUAUUACGAAACAAAAAACAACUCUUAACAACGGAUAUCUUGGUUCUC